RNAcentral lists this ribosomal RNA (168 nucleotides) under Aerolutibacter ruishenii. Lineage: Bacteria; Pseudomonadati; Pseudomonadota; Gammaproteobacteria; Lysobacterales; Lysobacteraceae. The record is from RNAcentral.
CCUGGUGACAAUAGCUGUGUGGAACCACCCGAUCCCUUCCCGAACUCGGAAGUGAAACGCACACGCGCCGAUGGUAGUGUGGCUCAAGCCAUGCAAGAGUAGGUCAUCGCCAGGGGCUUUACACCGAAGGCCGGAUCCAACAGGAUCCGGCCUUCUUCUUUUGCGCGC